UUGAACGCUGGCGGCAGGCCUAACACAUGCAAGUCGAACGGUAACAGGAAGCAGCUUGCUGCUUCGCUGACGAGUGGCGGCCGGGUGAGUAAUGUCUGGGAAACUGCCUGAUGGAGGGGGAUAACUACUGGAAACGGUAGCUAAUACCGCAUAACGUCGCAAGACCAAAGAGGGGGACCUUAGGGCCUCUUGCCAUCGGAUGUGCCCAGAUGGGAUUAGCUAGUAGGUGGGGUAACGGCUCACCUAGGCGACGAUCCCUAGCUGGUCUGAGAGGAUGACCAGCCACACUGGAACUGAGACACGGUCCAGACUCCUACGGGAGGCAGCAGUGGGGAAUAUUGCACAAUGGGCGCAAGCCUGAUGCAGCCAUGCCGCGUGUAUGAAGAAGGCCUUCGGGUUGUAAAGUACUUUCAGCGGGGAGGAAGGGAGUAAAGUUAAUACCUUUGCUCAUUGACGUUACCCGCAGAAGAAGCGCCGGCUAACUCCGUG
Molecule: ribosomal RNA, 489 nt
Filed under: uncultured bacterium
Lineage: Bacteria
Description: partial 16S ribosomal RNA
Rfam family: Bacterial small subunit ribosomal RNA
Source: RNAcentral